GUUCCCAUCCCGAACACGGUAGUUAAGCUUCUCUGCGCCAAUGGUAGUUGGGGGCUUCCCCCUGCGAGAGUAGGUCGUUGCCGGGC
RNAcentral lists this ribosomal RNA (86 nucleotides) under Listeria monocytogenes. RNAcentral also lists the same sequence under 2 other names. The record is from RNAcentral. Lineage: Bacteria; Bacillati; Bacillota; Bacilli; Caryophanales; Listeriaceae.